RNAcentral lists this long non-coding RNA (461 nucleotides) under Panax ginseng (ginseng). RNAcentral's name for it is "long non-coding RNA (PGIN_LNC013412)". The record is from RNAcentral. Lineage: Eukaryota; Viridiplantae; Streptophyta; Magnoliopsida; Apiales; Araliaceae.
GGUGAUCUACUUUAUCCAUGCUUCCGCCAUAAGUGGUUUUGGCUCUCCCUUAAACUCCAGUGGUCCCAGCUCCUUGAACUGUUUAGCGGUGACCGCCCGAGAGUUUCCAGUGUUUCAACCUACGUUUUGGACAGGAGCCGCUCUCGCCUGCUGUUGCAUGAAUUGCAGAAAGACUCUGAACAUUUGAUCAUUCAUCAUUUGGUCAGUGUUGUUAUUUGCAUGAGGAUUGUCGUCUUCCUGAUGCACAUUAUCCUGGUUAUUGAUAUGUGGUGAAUCAACGGUCGCCUGUGCUCCAUUGCUAUUCUCAACAUUCUCAGAUGUCAUUUUCAGAUACUGCCACAAAACAAAAGGUUAAUUGACAUGUAACAAGUUAUCCCUAUAUUUUGAUCGACCAAUAAAAUAACACAUAAACUUAGGUAAGUCAUACUAGCGAAGGAAUUCCCCGUCUCUCCCCUCCUAGU